RNAcentral lists this long non-coding RNA (8270 nucleotides) under Pelobates cultripes (western spadefoot toad). The record is from RNAcentral. Lineage: Eukaryota; Metazoa; Chordata; Amphibia; Anura; Pelobatidae.
CACACAUCUUGCUUGGCAGUGAUUUAUUUCUGAGAAAGCGUGUGAUGUGACCUAUACUUGCUGCAAGGAUUAAAACUUCUGGCAUUACAUACAGGGUUAUACAGGGUUAUUUAAUAAAGUGAGAAUUGUGAAGUAAAUUUCAAAUUCAAGGUGAAAACAGCUGAAUUGGUAAAAAUCUUGGGUUAUUCACAAAGGUCCCAUUACACCAGAUUUUCUCAGAAUUUGCCGUUUUUGGACAUUUACUAAUGCUGAAUGCAAUAUGCACUGUCUUUUGUACAAUACUGUAACAGGUUUCAAAUCUAUAAUUCUCAUUUGUAUAGGAUUUGCACAUUUAUCGUACACUGAAUAUUUACUAGAUAUUGCCUGAAAUCGGACAAAUCUUCCAAACAGAUUCACCUGCAGGCACAUUUAUUAUUUUUGACAGGUUAAGUGUACAUAUAGGACAGCUCAUUUUUGUUUUAUAAGAAAGUAAAGACAUUAAGAGCAUGGUGCACAUUUGAGCGGUCACCAUAUUAAUAAAACUCUUACAUAUUAUAUGCACCACAGUCAAUAGAAUAUUCAAUUACUGUAGAAACUAAUAAGAUUUGGUAAAACAGUGUGCUCAGUUUUUCAAUCCUGCAGUCAGUUUAACAACUAGCAGGUAUAGCUGGCGUGAUUUAUGAUGCAGGGAUCAUGGUGGUAUCGCAGGUUUACCCUAAGGUAAUGAUAUGAGCACAUGUGGUCGUUUGAGUUUCAGUUAACGCUUGAGGACACUGGACCCCGGAGCGUGCUAGCGCUAAUGCAGGGGUACUCCGCACUAGGAAUAGUGUUUGUCUAAGUAAGAAAUAUAAGGGAACAUAAUAAACAUAAUGAAAAAACUGAUAGCAGAAAACUGGAAAUAUAAAGGGAUCUGAGUAUGCAGCUGCUGCCGCUGCCUGAGCAAGCCUCGGGAUAUAGGUGCAGUCCCAGGAUCAUCCGAUGCCUGCCUGCGGCAGGGUUGAUGAGUGUGCAGGAGCUUGUAUGAGGGCUGGCAUCCCUUGUUUGCAGGCUUGGACCCUCUCAGGUACCAAGGUUAUCUUCCCUCUGGGGCAAGCAGGGGGUCUGGACGGUCGCAUUCGCCAUCUUGAUUACCCAUUGUGGGCUAUGUGUUGCUUAAUUUCCACAUGGAGUACAGAGUAGAUAAGGCAGUUAGCUCUGGUGUCCAGUGGGGACCGUGAUAUCCCCCGCCGAUGCAGUGGGGGCUGGGCGAUAGGAGUAUAGCUGAGCUAAACCAGGGUCUGAGGAGUGAGAUCAGCCACCUCUCCCCAGCUCCGUCCCCAGUAGGCCGCAGCAGAGAGACACGGAUUCCAGGUGGGGUAGAAACACCGCUCGAGUGUCAGGAUAGUCAGCAGGAAUCCCUAGACUCGGAUAGUGCCCUUCCUUGGACGUAGCUGUUCUUUAACCAAGGGAUAUCACCUCAGAUGUAGUAAAACUUUCAGGAUCUCAGGCACACCACGUCUGCUCUGCAUGGAAGCCUGGCUCCGCCCCCCACCUGCGGGUAAAUGUAUUCAAAUCCAGACAAUUUGCCCCCCGACAAUCUGAUCAGCCAGCUGGCAAAUGUUUAGAAACCCCAGGGCAAGAUGUGAUGGUCGCGAGUUGAUGGUUUGCAGUGACAAAAAUGGGAACAGAUGUGGGAUAGUAAAAAAUGCACUUACACUCUAUGGAACUACUAAUUAGCUCUAACUUUUGCGAUUGUACAUAUUCUAUACAUUCCAUAAAGCGUUUUGUGCGUGCACAGGGCUGGUACAAGUAUUUUUGGCUACACAGGAAAAGUUGCAUUUUGCGCCUCCUACCAACCCCCCCCCCCCAAAAAAAAUGCAUCUUUACCUCUUUGCACAUUGAGGUGGAAUCAUAUCUACAGAUUAAACAGACACUAUAGACACCCAGACCAAUUCAUCUCAUUGUGCUCUGUGUGUGGUCAAGUGGUCUGGGAGCAGUGUACCUGUACCCUUAAACCAGUUGCUGAAAACAAUGCGAUUUUAGAGAAGCUGCAAUGUUUAUAUAUCUCUCCCACACAGCCACUAGAGGUGGUUCCUGCAUACACACAGAGAUUAACUACGUAAAAUGACGCUGGACAUCCUCAAGCUUUUCAUGAAGAUGUCCUUCGUCUUGAAAAACUCCAUAGGAAAGCAUUUUUUCAAUGCUUUACUAUGGGGAAAGCCUAUUGCGUGCAACGUUUUUAUUGGUAACAUUAGUGUUCUUUUAAGGUCUAUUGCCAUCUACUUGUAACACACAAUGUAUACAUUUCAUGGCUUCAGUUAUGAUUUAAUAUAGGAUUCUGAUUAUGCUAUAAAGUUUGAGUGACAGGUACUGUGUGUUUUUGACGUAUUUGAGCCACAAGGAGUAAUUUAUUGUAAGCGCAUGUGAUUUCUAGGUUUGCUUCCGGACUUCCCUUUUAUGCAUCAUUUUUAAUUUUUUUUGCAAUGUCAUUCACAAACUUUCACUUCACAAUUGGGAACAUUAAAAACAAAAACAAAAAGUAAACAUAAUUAUUCUUUUCUGCACCCUUUAUAAAGAGGCAAAAUUCUAUUUUCACCCCAAGAAUGAUGCUUUUAUUUAUACAUGACAAAACCUUACUGGCCGUAGCCACUGUUGAUUGACAUUGCAUAUUGCUGCCUAAUUUCUUGUCUAUAAAAAUUCCCAAAUCCUUCUUGUGUGUUGUUAUCCAUAAUGCACUACCAUUUAGGGUGUAAGUUGCUUGAGCACUUUUUUUGUGCAUUUCUCUACGUAAAAUUUCAGCUGCCAUUUGAGUGCCCAGCCCCUCAAUCUAUCUAAAUCCCUCUGCAACAAAGUAACAACCUGCUCACAUUGUAUUACUUUACAGCGUUUUGUGUCAUCUGCAUCUUACCACCUCUGUCCAGCUUGAAAAGGGUUUAAGGGGCUUUCUGAUAGGCUUCUAUAAAGACAGUUUUGCAGAGAUGGUGAGAGUCAAAUGUGACGGGGGAGGACACUCCACACAUUUACAUCUCACAAUGCGGGAGGACACUCCACACACUCACAUCUCACAAUGCGGGAGGACACUCCACACACUUACAUCUCACACUGCGAGAGGACAAUCCACACUUACAUCUCACAAUGCGGGAGGACACUCCACACACUUACAUCUCACAAUGUGGGAGGUCACUCCACACACUCACAUCUCACAAUGCGGGAGGACACUCCACACACUUACAUGUCACAAUGUGGGAGGUCACUCCACACACUUACAUCUCACACUGCGAGAGGACAAUCCACACUUACAUCUCACACUGCGAGAGGACAAUCCACACUUACAUCUCACAAUGUGGGAGGUCACUCCACACACUUACAUCUCACACUGUGAGAGGACAAUCCACACACUUACAUCUCACAAUGCGGGAGGUCACUCCGCACACUUACAUCUCACAAUGCGGGAGGUCACUCCACACACUCACAUCUCACAAUGCGGGAGGUCACUCCGCACACUUACAUCUCACAAUGUGGGAGGACACUCCACACACUCACAUCUCACAAUGCGGGAGGACACUCCACACACUUACAUGUCACAAUGUGGGAGGUCACUCCACACACUUACAUCUCACACUGCGAGAGGACAAUCCACACUUACAUCUCACACUGCGAGAGGACAAUCCACACUUACAUCUCACAAUGUGGGAGGUCACUCCACACACUUACAUCUCACACUGUGAGAGGACAAUCCACACACUUACAUCUCACAAUGCGGGAGGUCACUCCGCACACUUACAUCUCACAAUGCGGGAGGUCACUCCACACACUCACAUCUCACAAUGCGGGAGGUCACUCCGCACACUUACAUCUCACAAUGCGGGAGGUCACUCAGCACACUUACAUCUCACACUGCGAGAGGACAAUCCACACUUACAUCUCACAAUGUGGGAGGUCACUCCACACACUUACAUCUCACACUGUGAGAGGACAAUCCACACACUUACAUCUCACAAUGCGGGAGGUCACUCCGCACACUUACAUCUCACAAUGCGGGAGGUCACUCAGCACACUUACAUCUCACACUGCGAGAGGACAAUCCACACUUACAUCUCACAAUGUGGGAGGUCACUCCACACACUUACAUCUCACACUGUGAGAGGACAAUCCACACACUUACAUCUCACAAUGCGGGAGGUCACUCCGCACACUUACAUCUCACAAUGCGGGAGGUCACUCAGCACACUUACAUAUCACAAUGCGGGAGGUCAUUGCACUCGACGACACAACACCGCUGUAAGCGUUUGUGGACUUAAGAUGGCCGCCGCCUCGUGUUCGGCCAUACCAAUGACGGCCACCCAGCUGACCACUUAGAAUGUUACUAGUUUGUGGUUUCUGCAAGUGUGGAAAACUGUCAUGUAGGUUAAUAGGCGACACACACGACAGUUCUGGGUGGUCUGACCGUUCGGUUAUUUGUUCGGUAUACGAACUGGGUAGGUUUUAAGUGUUCAGUUAGUUUGUAUACCAAGUAAUUCAAGGCAGUACAAUUAAAAUAAACAGAGCAUUUUUAACAGGGUGCAUCCGUCACAGUGGUAUUUUGCAAGGUUAUAACGGCACAAUUCCAACUGCCACUUUUCACUUUCAUAAGGGUUAAAGAUUAGUAAGAUAUAACAUUUAGGCAACUAUCAGCUUUUCUAGUUCAGGUACCCCUUGUCAGGAUUACUAUAUGAUCCAGCAUGUGGAAUUGUGUGACACAGGCGACUAAUAGGUAAAGUAUGAAUGGCCGGACUAACGCACCAAAGGAUAGUCAGAGUAAUAGCCAAGGUCAGGGGACACAGAAAGGGACACAACAAUAAAGGAAAGCCAGAGGUCAGGGAUACCAGAAAACAGGGGAGUCAAAAUAAAAGCCAAAGUAAAAAAAUGGAAUAACUAGAAUAAGGAACACGCUCUCGGACAACUACUAGGGAAACCACAACAGGGCAAUGAGGAAAGGUAAUUCUGGGCUUUUAUACCUGCUUUACCUUUCUGAUUGGCCGUGAUCACUCUUUGACCCCAAAACGUGCGCACCCGGGGUGUGCUCGACGUGACGUGCAUGCCGACGUCGUCAGUUACUUGAGCGAGCAUGGGGGUAUAAUUAGCCUUGGAACCACAGCGGCUGGCAUCCAUUAACAUGCCGCAAGUGUCAUUCAUGCAGAUGCACGGCCGCUGAACGCAUGGUGAGGAUGAAUAUGUUACACCCCUCCACCGUCAGCUGCCACAGUCUUCCCAAUGGCAUGAGCAUUGAAUUGUGUAGAGCUCAGCCGGGUUGAGCAGUUUGGGAAAACAAAGAGUUAAUCCUGUGUGAGAAAUAGACUGUUCACUGUACUGUAAUCAUGGGGUAGUGUAAGUCCCAAGUAGGAGGGAACGAAAGUUUGGCAUUACAGGAGGCUGCGUGUCCUAGGCCUCAUGUCCCAGAGAGUCCCCUUUAACCUAUGCCUUCAAGAGUUUCUGUCCAGCUUUGUAUCCCGCAGAGGGACUCACCCUUCCCAACUGUGAAGCCCGAGUGCCUCAUAGACAUGCUCUUCUGCUUGCUUAGGUGUUGGCAAAUUUCAAACCUUCCAGGGAUGCUUGCCGGUGCUGUGUGGGUCCUUCUCGGAUAGGGGUGCAGACUCCUCCCGGCUCUUGUAGCAAGCUGCUCUUUGGUUGACGGCGGGAGAGAGCGUUGUCUUUAGCGUCAUUUUUUGUCAUGCUUGGCUUGGAUGGGCGAGCCAUCCGGACUGGAGUGGUAGGGUGGUGCCAUGGGUGAGUGUGUGUGAUACUCAGUCGGUCAUCUAGUUUUUUCCAGAACGCUUCAAAUGCAGCAUCUAGCUGCGCCAGGAUGUUGGUCUCCUGUGUAGUAUCAGAUGGCCACGGGUGUAUUCUCCGUUCUCCAGUUCACAAGUCAUACCAUUGGAGUGGCCUUCCCGGUGAAAUCUAAUAUUGGAUGUCACAUGGACUUUGUAAUUUAUUUAUUGCAGUGUCCGUGUGGCAAACAAUAUGUGGGAAGGACAAAAAGACUUUUAAAAGUACGUUUAAUGGAACAUGUUAAUAAUAUAAGGAAGGGCAUCACAACCCAUUCAGUGCCAGUGCACUGUAAUACAUGUCCGGCCUUCAACUGGAGAGAUUUUAUAGGCUGUGGUAUAGAACAUCUAUCCUCCCAUUGGAGAGGAAGUAAUAGGGAAUUAAAAUUAGCACAACGUGAAACUUAUUGAAUUUAUAAAUUGGAUACUUUAGAACCGAAGGGAUUAAACAUAGACGUUGAUUUGGCUAGUUUUAUGGUAGAAAAAUAAGAGAAAGAAAAGGAGAGAAGGAAAAAGAGAAAAAAAGGGAAAAACUAUUUACAUAUAGAUGUAUUGUUCCUGAGGGGGACUUCCAUUUUUUUGUCAAGAUGAUCUAUGUAAUUUUUAUUUUUUAUUUUUAUUUUUAACGAUAUAUAUAAAUAUUUUUUUUUCAGAUAUAAAUUUUGUACCUUUCAUUUUUCUUUUUCUCAUUCAGAUAUAAAUUUUGCAUUUCUUUCCUUCUUGUACAUACUUGGAUCACACUUGGCAAGGGAUUGAAUUCCCCCUAUAUUGUUAAUUGUCGUUUUUUACUGUUAUAUAUGCCAGAAUGCUAUAUAUGGUAUAGAGUUUCUGAUUAUGUUAUUAUUAUAAGAUUUUUUAUUUAGUCCACCAAGUUGUAAGAUAUUCUGCCAUUUGGAACGCAUAUGUUUGAAGUCAUGGAACACUAUUUUCAGCGCCCAAGACUUCUGUUUACAUCCACAACCAGAAAUACGUAUUUGGAACGCAACCGGAAGUACGUGUUUGGAACGCAUAGCAAUGGAACGCAAACGGACCGGCGAUCACAGAAUUUUGCCGCGAUUUUUCAAAUCUUACUACCAGCUGCAAGGAAUAUUCCUUGAUUAAAGAGAGAGAAGGUUUCCCAGGCGUUCCUAUACGAUCUUUCUCCAAUGGUUCUAUUUAAAGGGACUUUGUUGGGGGUGGGAAUUAUGCAUGCUUUGAUUUUUUAUUGUAUUACUGCCUAUAUUGUGUUAUUAUCUCUGACGAAGUCCACUAUAUGUGGAAGAAACGAGUUAGAUUGCAGAUAAAUUUUACUUAUUUCUAUUCUAUUUUUUACUAAGGCUUUGUAUUGCCUUAAUAAAUAUAUUUUUAUUUAAAUUGGCGUAUUCCCACUUCAUUUGAAGACAGAAGUCCCUGUCUGUGGAAGGUGAACACCUCUCCAGCCCCAUUGUGGGCUUAAAGGCGCACUACUCUACACUAUUUCGUGAGUGCAACCAUUGGGGGUUAUAUCCAAUUGCAAUUAUUGUACUUCACUAUGUGCUAUGUAUUUUUUUGUUUUUUUGUUAUUCAGCUGUAUUCCAUUUUUGUUUAUUCGCGUAUUCUCCGCCAUAUUGGAGUCAGCUUGCCUCUGUUGGGGUUGCUGUCACAGCCUCUGGAUGGGCCCACCUGGGGGGGACGGAACGAGAGCCCACAAUCAGGCUUGUAGCCAUUGAAGUCGACAGUGGCACUCUCCUCUGCGCCGAUCAUGCUUGAGGAGUGUUUCAGUGACUCCUGCUUACUGUGCCACGUUUGGUAUCUGCAGGUAGCCCUCGGUUUCACCUUUCCGUAAGGUGCUUGUGUGAGGAGAUGGAGAUACUUUGUAACCCAGGAGAUUUGCAUGUAGGAGCAUCCUCUCGGCUCAGCGGUCAGGCCCCGCCCUCCGGCAGUUUUUGUUUUUUUUAAUACAGUUUUUUACUCAUUUGUUGCACUUAUUUAUUUGGGACUAAGAGUGGCUGUGUAUUUUCAUUUGUCACAGCCACCCUUAGUACCAUCUGAUGGAUACCCUUUGUACCCAAGGUGCCCAUCUACCCACACAGACACUGUCAGUAUGCAGAAUUAAUUUACUAGAUAUCAAUUAAAAGAGGCGUAGAAUACACUGGUGGAGCUAUUGUUGAGAGGGCCCUCAUGUAGUACAUACUUUGGACCCCCUCUAGUUCAAGUGUGGCCAAAAGGUAGAUGGGUAUUUACCAUUUGCCCAUCCUUGCAGGGUUGUAUUUGUGAGCAGUGUUUGAGCGUUUGAAUGUAAGCAUGUUUUUGUAUAGAGUAUAUGUGUAGCUGUAGGGGUGCAUUUGUAUGUACUGUUAUUAUUGCAAUACAGUGGUAUACUUGUGUGUAGUGUUUACACCCUGUUCCAAAUGAUUAUGCAAAUUCUAUUUAAGUGUCACAAAGAUUAAAUAUUUUGUUUUUCAGUUUAACUCAUGGAUGGCAUUGUGUCUCAGGGCUCUUUUGAUCACUGAAAACAAUCUCGGACAACUGUGAUAAUUAGAUUGCCAG